AAUGCCUAUAGUCAAUGGUUCUCGAGUGCAAUUGCUUACCCUACUCCUCAACUUGCACUUUUCACAUACUUAUCUUGCUUUUGCUUGUCCAAAUGGAACCAUAUUAAUAAUCCCCAGUCUUACACUAUUCAAAUGUUUUGCCCAACUUUUUCUUUCUCCAAAAGAAACUCCAGAAUAAGUCACUAUACACCUUUCAAGUUGAGGUUGCUGGUUGUCGACUUUUUGGUUCUCGACCCAGUAAGGAGGUUGGGAAGAAGCCCAUAGGAUGUUUCCUUUGAGCUGGCUAGUUGUGCUAAACACGCUUCCUGAGGUGAUCGUAGCCAACUAAGACUUGGUCACAACUCGCAAAAAAGGGUCAUGUCAUACAUAGGUGUUGCGAUGAUGCAAUUGUAAGCUCUCAUGUUUAACCAAGAUAGGAUGAGAUGAGAUGAGAUCGAUAUAACAAGACGUCGAGAAGUCAUCGGAGAUAGUCUUCAGACGAAGAUCGAGAUAAAAAGCCAAAAACAGAGUUAUACCCAUUUCGGAUAUCUUAAAUUCCCCCUCAGGAAAUGUCCAUUCCACACAGCCCUUUCCUCUAUAUGUAGUAGAAGCCCAUUCCAUUACCUUACAAAGGGAAUGGAGAAGAACAAUUCCCUCACACCAAACUACAAGUCUUGUUUGACAAAUAUUGCUCUCCACUUCUCCUUGCUCCCCCUAUCCCUCUCAACCAAACACUACAACUCUAUCUCUCUCUCUCGGCCUAACACUACAACAAAUCCAACUGAUGGCAGAAGUAGAGGAAGCAGUAAGCUUCAAACUUUUCGGGACGGUGAUCCAAAAGGGGGACAGACAAGCCAAGGAGGAAGAGGAGAAGCGGGUGGAGGCGCAGGAAGAGGCGGCGGCGCUGCCGUGCCCGAGGUGCAAGAGCAAGGAGACCAGGUUCUGCUACUUCAACAACUACAACGUCAACCAGCCGCGCCACUUCUGCAAGGCCUGCCACCGCUACUGGACAGCCGGCGGCACCCUCCGCAGAAACGUUCCCGUCGGCGCUGGCCGCCGGAGGGGUCGCCCCGCACACCGCAUAGGAGCCUCCUCCGCCGCCGCAUCAACCGCAUCCAUCCCUUCUGUCUGCGUCCUGGUGUGCCAGCCGUCUGGCUACUCUGACGGGGCGGCGGCGAUGGAUCGCUGGCUCCUGACACCAGAGGCCCCGGCGAUAGUUGACCGCACGCACAAUCGUGGACCUCGUUGACUCUCGAGGAUCUACUCCUCGAGUCACAGUGUACGGCUCCCACAGCCAAAGGAUGUCUGUAUGUUUGUGAUCUUUUAACCAACCGUGGAAAUGGACAUCUCCUUUACUUCGCCAUGAAAA
RNA transcript from Musa acuminata AAA Group (dessert banana), 1348 nucleotides. RefSeq lists it as uncharacterized. Lineage: Eukaryota; Viridiplantae; Streptophyta; Magnoliopsida; Zingiberales; Musaceae. The record is from RefSeq and is a predicted model, not a curated record. The transcript is spliced from 2 exons.